Molecule: long non-coding RNA, 1454 nt
Organism: Lolium perenne
Lineage: Eukaryota; Viridiplantae; Streptophyta; Magnoliopsida; Poales; Poaceae
Source: RefSeq, a predicted model, not a curated record
AAAUAGGCUGUGGACCAUCUUUCUCUCCCUCUCCUGGUGGCUUCCUUCCUCCAUGAGCGGCGGCGCCGCCGUCCUUGUCUCCAGGGGAUUCUUGUCGCUGCCACCCCCUCACCCAUCCCAGUCACCUGACGAGCGCCGCUGCCCAAGUCACCACCGCCCCCACAGUCACGGCCGCCCCUCCUCAUCAGGGAGAUCCUGGCCAAGCUCGCCGGACGGCCACGCCUCCCAGGUCGUCGUUCCACGACCUCCGCACGGUCCUCUCAAUUUUCGUUCCCCGCGCGUCCACCGUCCUCGUUUUACCCCAUGAGUUGCUCCCCAACGCCCUCUUCCCCGUCUGCGCUGCUCCGCCGCCGCCGGGAACGUUCGCGCGUCUCCCAGCUCAUCUGCGCUACUCCACCGCCGCCGGGGACGUCCGUAUGCCCAGCUCGUCUGCGGUGCUCCGCCGCCGCCGGGGACGUCCGCGCGUAUUCCAGCUCCAAGGCCGCUGUCGUCCACGCUAAUGACGCCUUCUCGGUACGACUUGAUUUGCAUACUCUCUCGUGCAGACUGAACUGAGAACCAUUUCCUAUUUGCAGGCUUUGAGGCGCCAAACUUGAGGUAAUUCUAUUCCGUUCCAGAAUUUUGUCAACUGUGUACCAAACUACCAAUAGAUUCACACAGGCGUAUAGUAGCUUUCGUUAACAUCACUCCGAAAUGCGCUGGGCUCGUUAGCUAUAUACUGACAAAUUAGAUUGAUAGGGGAAAUACACAUGUUCUCUCAGUCUUUCUGUGAAGUGUAUUUACUUAAUGUUAGUGCUAACUGCUAACCUUCAUUCAUGAACGACCACUGCUGCUAAUACCUAUUAUUUGCAUAGACCCAGUAAACUAAACUUUUCCCAUGUAGCUGUCAGCGUUUAUCAUAGUAAGGAGCGCUCUAAAGUAUAAAGCUAGAUUGCGACAACAGUUUCUUGUUUUGGACUUUGCAGUAUGUAAUUGGCAGAUCAGAUGAGGACUUGCAAACACCCUUUGGCAUUGAAAUUCUGGACAAACUAACUCAGACUUGGGUUGUGCCAACAGUAGUUGGGGCUUAGCCUCCAUCCAAGUUGCACGAAGCAAUUCUUGUAAAGGAUGAGAAGAUAUUGGUUGUUGAGAACUGGACAAAAUCCUACAGAAAAAAGAUUGAGGAACCGGCUGUCUUGCAUUUUGCUUGCACUUAAACUGGAGUAGCAAUUUCUGCUCACCCAUUUGUCUUUCCCUUUCCCGCUAGUUGAAUGUAUCAUUUUGUUGUGUGAAUGUUGUGGAGCAGCAAAUAUUCUCAUCAACAUUCUAUGAGGAAACAUCGCAAUGUAACUGAGAUUCCAUAUUGUAUUUUAUUUCAUUGUUUGGAAAUGGGAAAGCUGCAUUGCAUCUGUCUUUCCGUUUCCUGCUAGAAUGUAUGCCCUCCGCUCCUGAAUAUAACACGUUUUGAGAGUUCA